This is a long non-coding RNA of Arabidopsis lyrata subsp. lyrata, 829 nucleotides long. RefSeq lists it as uncharacterized. The transcript is spliced from 4 exons. NCBI's taxonomy places the organism in Eukaryota, Viridiplantae, Streptophyta, Magnoliopsida, Brassicales, Brassicaceae. The record is from RefSeq and is a predicted model, not a curated record.
UGUCAGAGAGGGUUUCGAUCACGACAAGUUUGUUUUGUAUCAAUCAUCGUUCGAUUCCAACUCUCAAAAUAUGCCUAACACUCGGAUUAAGUCAAGAUGUUUUGACGAUCUCAAUGAUCACGAAAGACUUCAGGAUAGAUUGGAGUGGGAAGGUUACACAGAGAUCAAGAUAAAAAGUGAUGGAAAUUGCCAGUUCCGUGCUUUAGCUGAUCAACUCUACAAAACCUCGGAUUGUCAUAAACGUGUUAGACAAGAAAUCAUACAACAGCUAAAAUAUCAUCCAAAAUUGUACAAAUGAUUUGUUGAUAAGAUGGAAUUCUCCGAGUAUGUAAAGAACAUGUCGAAUAACUAAGUGUGGGGUGAUGAAGUCACAUUGAAAGCAGCUGCAGAUGUUUAUGGAGUUAAAAUAGUACUCAUUACAUCGUUCAAAGAUAUCACUUCCACUGAGCUUCUUCCCAAGUCUCGAAAACAACCCGAUAGAGUCAUUUACUUGAGCUAUCUAGCAGGGAUAAAUUACAACUCCAUCCACAAAAACGAAGGUUUAUAUACAAAGGAGGAGACGGAGAAGGAGAAUGGGAACGAGAAGAAGAAAAAGAAGAAGAACGAUUUGUUUUCAUGAUCAGGACGAUUUGUUCAAAAUGUUUCUUCAUAAGGUUUUUGGCCUUGUGGUUUAUUGCUGAGAAGACAAAUUAUUUGGUCUUGAUGAUCAAUGCUUUGUAGUUUGUUCUGUGUCUUGCAUAUAAUUUUGUUACAUAGGUAGAAAGUAGUUUAGACUAUAGAGUUCUAUGUAAAGUUUGAGAUAAAGGAAGAUGAUGGAACACAAUUAACU